CGCGGUUGGACUGCAUCGAGAAUAAAUGAUUACGGCUUAACAAUCUUGAGCUGAUGUGCCAAAGACUGUUUUCUGUCGGCUACGUGAGAAACGUCAUCGUCAGGCUGAGCCAAUCAGAGGCAGAGUAAAGUCGCGUCCAGGGUCAUACAGCUAAGCUAACAUAAUAGGGCUUUAAUAUAAUACAAAAAGGAAAAUAAUGAACAUCUGUAAUGUGGAAACAUGGAGAUCCGUAUGAAAGCCAUCAAAUGACACUUUCCAUGCAGAUUCAUACUGAGAACAAGGAAACAUGAGCUGCAGCGAACCGAUUCCAUCGCUCCACAGUGUGAGUAAGUUAUGAGCAGGAGGAACUAUAAAUGAGUCAGACCUGUUUCGUUUGGAUCCCCGUUCCAUCAUGGUAUGCUUUUAUGAGUACAUUUUUCAUGCAAGUUCUUGGCUGCGAACGUGCAACGGCUCAUUUCAGUAUCCGAAAGGGCCCGCCUGCCCCCCCCCCCCCCCCCCUCGCCAUCUCCAUCGCCACCUCCUCCGACAGCACAAACAGCAACAAUGGAAAGAAAGGAAACUUGACUCGUUGGAGAAGACAAGUGUUUCAAAAGAUGGAGCUCUCCACCGUUGAGCUGAUGAACGACUCUCCCCUUCCCGUUCCCUCUGAAAAAAACAGCCAAUGAAAAUAAGCUCAACUGUGCAAUUUAGAGAGCCGUAUAAAUCAAUCCUGGUAACAAACUCUGAAUGUCAGCGAGCGUGACGGCCACUGAUUCAGAGAGGGAUGGAGUUGGCGUGGAUCCCUACCUGGUUGGCACUCCUCCAGUCGGCGCGCCACCCCGGCUGCCGUCUCUCCUCCCAGCCGCCCCGCCCAGGCUCCAUGCCCCAUUUCUGCUCCCGCUGGGGACGCAACCAGAACAGCACCAGAAAGAGACAAGAGGAGGACCAGUGACUGAUCAGGGUCAUAAAGCUCCGAAUUGUUUGUGGUCUUCAGUGAUAACCUGCUGGACGUCACUGUGCUGUUUAUACAUCACUAAGCACAAAACCAAUGAGGUCCCAAACACGGCAGAAGAGAUCAAUGAUUCCAACAUCCCAAAGAUUGCCGUUCUGAGUGCCGUUCAAUCACUGCGUUCCAGCAGCGUCUCAGUGAGUCUUUGUGGUGCUGUUAGACGACUCCAGAGUUCACAUGUGAGCUUUACAAGCAGAGCGAGGUUCUCCUUCACUGGCGGUGAGGGACCACUUGUGGUUUUUCAUGUUUGGUAAAAACUGCAAAACUUGGCUGCUUACUCUGCUAAUCUCUCUGACACACACACACACAAAAAGCAGAUGUAUGAGACGUGUCUGUUACUGUAUUCAGAGCCUCGGAGGCAUGCCAUCAAACGACCUUCUCAUGGAGAUUCAACACAAACACACACCUAUACACACAUCCAUAUACACACUUCCAUACACACACAUCCAUAUACAGUGUGUGAAACAGGAGGGGGGGUGAUCCCACACACACAGUCAAAAUAAAACACACAUCGCCUUCACAGGAAAGCCUAUACAGUAUGUAUGUAUGUAUGUAUGCAGGCUGCUUUUUUAUUCAUAAAAUGACAGAGAUGUCAAAGCAUCAAAAAGUUGUGGCCUCUGUUCUCUCUCACUCUUUCCAUCUCCCUGUUGUCCGUUUAAAAGAGCUCAGAUACAUUUUUAUGCACAGGCAAACGAUUGAGACAGUGUAUACAAAGGAGUGAGCAUG
Long non-coding RNA from Dicentrarchus labrax (European seabass), 1714 nucleotides. Lineage: Eukaryota; Metazoa; Chordata; Actinopteri; Moronidae. The record is from Ensembl.